CACAGGUUUGGUCCUGGCCUUUCUAUUAAUUCUUAAUAAAAUUACACAUGCAAGUAUCCGCGCCCCGGUGAGAAUGCCCUCCAGAUCCUAAAGAUCAAAAGGAGCAGGUAUCAAGCACACCUAUAACGGUAGCUCAUAACGCCUUGCUCAACCACACCCCCACGGGAAACAGCAGUGAUAAAAAUUAAGCCAUGAACGAAAGUUUGACUAAGUUAUAUUAAUUAGAGUUGGUAAAUCUCGUGCCAGCCACCGCGGUCAUACGAUUAACCCAAAUUAAUAGAUCCACGGCGUAAAGAGUGUUUAAGAAAAAAAAACCACAAUAGAGUUAAAUUAUAACUAAGCUGUAAAAAGCCCUAGUUAAAAUAAAAUAACCCACGAAAGUGACUCUAAUAAUCCUGACACACGAUAGCUAGGACCCAAACUGGGAUUAGAUACCCCACUAUGCCUAGCCCUAAACCCAAAUAGUUACAUAACAAAACUAUUCGCCAGAGUACUACUCGCAACUGCCUAAAACUCAAAGGACUUGGCGGUGCUUCACAUCCACCUAGAGGAGCCUGUUCUAUAAUCGAUAAACCCCGAUAGACCUUACCAACCCUUGCCAAUUCAGCCUAUAUACCGCCAUCUUCAGCAAACCCUAAAAAGGAACAAUAGUAAGCACAAUCAUAACACAUAAAAACGUUAGGUCAAGGUGUAGCUUAUGGGUUGGAAAGAAAUGGGCUACAUUUUCUACAUAAAGAAUACCCACCAUACGAAAGUUUUUAUGAAACUAAAAACCAAAGGAGGAUUUAGCAGUAAAUCAAGAAUAGAGUGCUUGAUUGAAUAAGGCCAUGAAGCACGCACACACCGCCCGUCACCCUCCUCAAGCAUGUAGUAAUAAAAAUAACCUAUAUUCAAUUACACAACCAUGCAAGAAGAGACAAGUCGUUACAAGGUAAGCAUACUGGAAAGUGUGCUUGGAUUAC
Molecule: non-coding RNA, 962 nt
Filed under: Sus scrofa (pig)
Lineage: Eukaryota; Metazoa; Chordata; Mammalia; Artiodactyla; Suidae
Description: 12S ribosomal RNA
Rfam family: Bacterial small subunit ribosomal RNA
Source: RNAcentral